RNAcentral lists this ribosomal RNA (253 nucleotides) under uncultured bacterium. Its description in RNAcentral is "partial 16S ribosomal RNA". It matches the Rfam family "Bacterial small subunit ribosomal RNA", at positions 524 to 776 of the family's 1533-position model. The record is from RNAcentral.
UACGGGGGGGGUAAGCGUUGUUCGGAAUUACUGGGCGUAAAGGGCUCGUAGGCGGCCAACUAAGUCAGACGUGAAAUCCCUCAGCUUAACUGGGGAACUGCGUCUGAUACUGGAUGGCUUGGAUUUGGGAGAGGGAUGCGGAAUUCCAGGUGUAGCGGUGAAAUGCGUAGAUAUCUGGAGGAACACCGGUGGCGAAGGCGGCAUCCUGGACCAAUAUUGACACUGAGACCCGAAAGCGUGGGGAUCAAACAGG